UACAGAGGUCUCAAGCGUUGUUCGGAUUCAUUGGGCGUAAAGGGUGCGUAGGUGGCGCGCUAAGUCAGGUGUGAAAUUUCGGAGCUUAACUCCGAAACUGCAUUUGAUACUGGCGUGCUUGAGGACUGGAGAGGGGACUGGAAUUCACGGUGUAGCAGUGAAAUGCGUAGAGAUCGUGAGGAAGACCAGUGGCGAAGGCGGGUCUCUGGACAGUUCCUGACACUGAGGCACGAAGGCCAGGGGAGCAAACGGG
This 253-nucleotide ribosomal RNA is filed under the name uncultured bacterium. RNAcentral describes it as "partial 16S ribosomal RNA". It matches the Rfam family "Bacterial small subunit ribosomal RNA", at positions 524 to 776 of the family's 1533-position model. The record is from RNAcentral.